Molecule: ribosomal RNA, 802 nt
Filed under: uncultured bacterium
Lineage: Bacteria
Description: bacterial SSU rRNA
Rfam family: Bacterial small subunit ribosomal RNA
Source: RNAcentral
AGAGUUUGAUCAUGGCUCAGGACGAACGCUGGCGGCGUGCUUAACACAUGCAAGUGGUGCGACGAACCAGGGCUUGCCCUGGGGCCAAGCCGCGAACGGGUGAGUAACACGUGAGUAACCUGCCCCGAUGACCGGGACAACCCGAGGAAACUCGGGCUAAUACCGGAUGUGGUGCACAUUCUUAAGUUUGUGUACUAAAGGAAGCUUCGGCCUCCGCAUUGGGAGGGGCUCGCGGCCCAUUAGCUUGUUGGUGAGGUAACGGCUCACCAAGGCUGCGAUGGGUAGCUGGUCUGAGAGGACGAUCAGCCACACUGGGACUGAGACACGGCCCAGACUCCUACGGGAGGCAGCAGUGGGGAAUCUUGCGCAAUGCGCGAAAGCGUGACGCAGCAACGCCGCGUGGGGGAAGACGGCCUUCGGGUUGUAAACCCCUUUCAGGAGGGACGAAGGUUCACCGGUUAACAGCCGUGUGGAUUGACGGUACCUCCAGAAGAAGCUCCGGCUAACUACGUGCCAGCAGCCGCGGUAAUACGUAGGGAGCAAGCGUUGUCCGGAAUCAUUGGGCGUAAAGCGCGCGUAGGCGGCCUCAUAAGUCCGUUGUGAAAGUCAAAGGCUCAACCUUUGAAGGCCGAUGGAUACUGUGAGGCUAGAGUCCGGAAGAGGCGAGUGGAAUUCCUGGUGUAGCGGUGGAAUGCGCAGAUAUCAGGAGGAACACCAAUAGCGAAGGCAGCUCGCUGGGACGGUACUGACGCUAAGGCGCGAAAGCGUGGGGAGCGAACAGGAUUAGAUACCCUAGUAGUCC